UCCAAAAUAACUCAAUUGGGAGAGUGUUAGACUGAAGAUCUAAAGGUCCCUGGGCUAGUGUAUUGUGGCAUCACCUCGCCCUUUUUGGUC
This 90-nucleotide transfer RNA is filed under the name Pelodiscus sinensis (Chinese soft-shelled turtle). The record is from Rfam by way of RNAcentral. Lineage: Eukaryota; Metazoa; Chordata; Testudines; Trionychidae.